CGUGGGCUAAGUUGCACCAAGACUUAAACCCCAUCACUUCCUCUUCUCUUAAUCCGAGUUUCUCCGGCAUCAUUCGACACCAAAACCUAUGCAGCCAGCGAUGUCUUCAUCAUAAGCAACAAGUUAACCAAGCCUCAAUUUGGAACCCACUGCUUACCAAGAAAGGUAGUGAAGAAACGUUUGAAUGUUUGAUGGCUUUCAGGCUUGAAUUUGAAAGAUGACUCACAAAAGGGUUAACCCAGAUCAAAUCCAAUUGAGAAUUAAUCCAAUCCACGCUGAUGUUGAUGAGGAGAUCACCAGUAUUCGAUCCCAAGUCAGAAAAUUGAGAAACCCACUUUGCCCAAAUAACAAUGGAGUUCACAUCUAUACUCUGAUCCAAUCCAAAUGGGAAAAGCUGUUCUUCAAAAGGUACCGUGUCUCAGACUCAUGGGCUUGCAAUGAUAGUUGUCAAAGACCAAUUAUAAUGUGAUACUUCAGUGCAAACUUGAGAGAGAUGCACCUUGCGUAACCGAGUUUUGGUCGAAACAAUUAGAAAGCAGUUCGAGUAGUGGGUUUCAGUGGGUACAUUUGUUUUCCCAUACUCUUGAUAUAUAAUUGUGCAUCCUUGCUAGGACUGUCGAGAGCAAAAUAUUUAUCUCAGAUAUACUGCAUGUAUAUCAACAAUGGAAACUUGAAGCAUUGACUUCAUGAAGUCUUGCUUAUUUACACAAGGUCAUUGAACCAAAGGUGACACAUCGAAACAUUAAGCAAACGCUCCUUCUUGGCCACUAACCACUUUGUAAAGGAAUGGAAAUUUUCUGGUGGUUUACUUUGAUGAUAUCCUAAUUUUCCAAUCUCCCUUAUGCCUAGGACGUUGUCUGGGCCAAGAGCCAUAGUUGAUCAGAAAGAGUUGAUACUAACAUUGGUUUGCCAAAUCAAGUUUGAAUUCAAGGAUGCAGCUGUUGGAAAGCUAAAAAAGGAAACUGACUGUAUCCAAACGGGAGCAAGACGAUAGUAUGUCAGUGCGUUUGUGCUUAAAGGAAUGAGUUUUUUUGUUGUUUGAAUACACUAAGAUCUAAUCGAUGGCCAAUUUGUUGACUCUGCAUCAGAUUGAUCAGUCUUUCCAAAUUCACCGUAGUUAUGGAAGCAUGCUCGAGGGUGAGGCUGAUGAACUCAAGUGCGGUUUUGGAAUGGGCGGUGGGAGACCCAUCAAGAGCAGAUUAGAGGUAUAGACCAUGCUAGAGAUGUGUCUCUCAAUUUAUAUUAGAUCUGUUGUAAUGUCAAGAAAGCGUGCAGGGUUUGUUAAUUGAAUUGUAUAAGAUUAAUGAUUCAUUUCAAACAAUUCCUAUUGUUAUUAAGAGUGAGUGAAUUAAAAUGUUAUUUAUCUACAUGAGCACGUUACUAACCGCAGCUCACAACGUAGAUAAAUAUUUUCGUUACAAUAAUUUUUCAUCAUUAACAACCUAUCUAGAAUGUAUUACUACAAUUAGAUCAAUUGACAAUAAAACCCCGCGGCAUCGCGCGGGUUCCUUUUCUAGUU
Molecule: long non-coding RNA, 1519 nt
Organism: Rosa chinensis
Lineage: Eukaryota; Viridiplantae; Streptophyta; Magnoliopsida; Rosales; Rosaceae
Exons: 8
Source: RefSeq, a predicted model, not a curated record